CACACUGGCUGAGCGCGGAGUUCUGCUUACUUCAGUCCUGCUGAGAUACUCUCUCAGUCCGCUCGCACCGAAGGAAGCUGCCUUGGGAUCAGAGCAGACAUAAAGCUAGAAAAAUUUCAAGAUGAAAUUGAAAUGGCCAAUGAGCACACGCUCAUUCAUCCAGCGAGCAUUGAGGACCCCCUAGAGGCCAGGCCCAUGAGUGAUGAAGAUCCCGAGGAUGAAGACGCCUUGCCAGCCAGACAGAAACAGUCUCCGCCAGUCAAGAAACCCUCAAAAGUAUUUUGCCAUGGAUAUAGAAGAUGAAGAAAACAUGAGUAAGAUCUAGGCCUAUCACGUAGUAUCAGAUAGCUAAUUUUAUGUUAACAUUUUGGUGUUUUUGCAAAUGUAUU
This 389-nucleotide small RNA is filed under the name Pan troglodytes (chimpanzee). RNAcentral describes it as "processed transcript". The record is from RNAcentral. Lineage: Eukaryota; Metazoa; Chordata; Mammalia; Primates; Hominidae.